RNAcentral lists this ribosomal RNA (253 nucleotides) under uncultured bacterium. Its description in RNAcentral is "partial 16S ribosomal RNA". It matches the Rfam family "Bacterial small subunit ribosomal RNA", at positions 524 to 776 of the family's 1533-position model. The record is from RNAcentral.
UACAGAGGGGGCAAGCGUUAUUCGGAAUUAUUGGGCGUAAAGGGCGCGUAGGCGGCCUGGCAAGUGGAUGGUGAAAUCCCUCGGCUUAACCGAGGAACUGCCGUCCAAACUGCUUCGCUUGAGACCGGGAGAGGUGAGUGGAAUUCCCAGUGUAGCGGUGAAAUGCGUAGAUAUUGGGAGGAACACCAGUGGCGAAGGCGGCUCACUGGACCGGUACUGACGCUGAUGCGCGAAAGCGUGGGGAGCAAACGGG